UUUCGCAAUGCCCGAAAGGGUGACGAAGCGACGCCGCGUGGGUGAGGAAGGCCUUCGGGUUGUAAAGCCCUGUCAGGAGUUAUGAAAUGUAAGUGCGCUAAUAUCGUGCUUAUUUGACAAAGGCUCCAAAGGAAGCCACGGCUAACUCUGUGCCAGCAGCCGCGGUAAUACAGAGGUGGCGAGCGUUGUUCGGAAUUAUUGGGCGCAAAGAGCACGUAGGUGGGUUUGCAAGUCAGAUGUGAAAGCCUUCUGUUCAACGGAAGAAUUGCAUCUGAAACUGCUAAUCUUGAGUAUAGGAGGGGAGAAUGGAACUUCUGGUGGGGCGGUGAAAUGCGUAGAUAUCAGAAGGAACGCCGGCGGCGAAAGCGAUUCUCUGGCCUAUUACUGACACUCAGUGUGCGAAAGCUAGGGGAGCAAACGGGAUUAGAUACCCCGGUAGUCCUAGCCGUAAACGAUGGGCACUAAGUAGAGGGGUUUUA
Molecule: ribosomal RNA, 479 nt
Filed under: uncultured anaerobic ammonium-oxidizing bacterium
Lineage: Bacteria
Description: bacterial SSU rRNA
Rfam family: Bacterial small subunit ribosomal RNA
Source: RNAcentral